Molecule: long non-coding RNA, 335 nt
Filed under: Theobroma cacao (cacao)
Lineage: Eukaryota; Viridiplantae; Streptophyta; Magnoliopsida; Malvales; Malvaceae
Description: long non-coding RNA (TCAC_LNC005704)
Source: RNAcentral
AUGCACUUACCCUCUCUUCGUAGCUAACAAGAGGCCUGUCUCCCAUGGUUUCCCUUCAUUCUUCUUCUUCCUCAGUCCUCACCAUUAAUGAUUCAAACUCAAAAUUGACCGUUACCCCACCAAAGCUUAUGGUUUGACAGUGAUGGGGGAAAUGUGAAGAUGACAUGUGCAGGCAGCCAUCCACCCUGACAGACUUCUUCUCAAUUAUUUAACUUGAAUAAAGCUGACAGCCCAUUUUGUGAUUGCGACAGAUGGGGCAUGAAUUGGCUGUAAUUUGAUCUACUACAGGGUUUGUAUGGGGUUUGAAAAUUCUUUCGGAUGGAUCGAUUCAAGAG